Molecule: small nuclear RNA, 107 nt
Organism: Octodon degus (degu)
Lineage: Eukaryota; Metazoa; Chordata; Mammalia; Rodentia; Octodontidae
Source: Ensembl
GUGCUCGCUUCAGCAGCACAUAUGCUAAAAUUGGAAUGACACAGAGAAGAUUAGCAUAGCCCCUGUGCAUGGAUGACAGGCAAAUUCAUGAAGCAUUCCGUAAUAUA